Molecule: long non-coding RNA, 904 nt
Filed under: Felis catus (domestic cat)
Lineage: Eukaryota; Metazoa; Chordata; Mammalia; Carnivora; Felidae
Description: lncRNA (ENSFCAG00000045222.2)
Source: RNAcentral
CUAAGAUGUUCUUUUGCAGAGGUUUGUCAGGUAGUCUAAAUACUAUGCUAUAUUCUUCAGGAAGUAGUUGGAUAGUUGCCACCUUAACAUUUUUUUUUUUAAAUUAUGUCUUGAAAGGAUACAAUAUUUUUGUAGAUUCGUGUGCUAAACUGGAGAAGCUUGGGACAAUAAGCUGAACAACAUGAGCAAAGCCAAAUUCAGGGUAGGAUCUCAGGGGUGUCCAGCCAGCCUUUCUUUGUACUGAAAGGGGUCACCUUUUCAAACAUUGUAUUCACACAGCUUUGAGUUUAUUUCUUCUCUGAACUUCAUUUCUAAACCAUUACUGUUCUGGGUGAGCUGUGCUUAGAGACAUAACGGAGGUAUUUAUGUCUUCACUUUGGGAAAAAAGGGAGGUGGAGGAGGGUUGUGGCAGCGUUGAGAAGAAGCUCUGAGAAAUCUGAGGGAAUGGGCAGAAAAACCUGGGCAGUAAAUUGAAGAGAAAGUUGAUGAUCAGCUAUAAAGACAGAUUCGUGCAAGGUUUAAGUACUCCCACUUAGAGAAGGAAUUUGACUUCUUGCAGUUAUGCAGACAGGGGCUCAGUAUAAUAAUGGGGUUCUAUAAUUUGGUAUCCAAGUGAAUGAUGAACCCCACCCGCCUUGGGAGGAUUUUUGGUGACUUUGCUCAUUCUUCUUGUUCUCUGUCUUCUAAACAGUUGAAGAUAGAUCCAAGGGCCCACAUGGAGAUCAAAAUGCAGCAUUUGCUUCAUUUCUGGUUGAUAUUUGCAAAACCUUUGGUUUCUGAUAAAGCCUUUGUUCUUUAUGUUUGUGGGAGAAAAGGAACAAAAAGGGAGAGAGAAACACAGUUAAACAGAAAAUCCUACACAUAUCCCAAGGCUUUUGAAGACAAAAAGAAUUGUACAAAAUAA